UACGAAGGGGGCUAGCGUUGCUCGGAAUCACUGGGCGUAAAGGGUGCGUAGGCGGGUCUUUAAGUCAGGGGUGAAAUCCUGGAGCUCAACUCCAGAACUGCCUUUGAUACUGAAGAUCUAGAGUUCGGGAGAGGUGAGUGGAACUGCGAGUGUAGAGGUGAAAUUCGUAGAUAUUCGCAAGAACACCAGUGGCGAAGGCGGCUCACUGGCCCGAUACUGACGCUGAGGCACGAAAGCGUGGGGAGCAAACAGG
Molecule: ribosomal RNA, 253 nt
Filed under: uncultured bacterium
Lineage: Bacteria
Description: partial 16S ribosomal RNA
Rfam family: Bacterial small subunit ribosomal RNA
Source: RNAcentral